This 497-nucleotide ribosomal RNA is filed under the name uncultured bacterium. RNAcentral's name for it is "partial 16S ribosomal RNA". It matches the Rfam family "Bacterial small subunit ribosomal RNA", at positions 28 to 507 of the family's 1533-position model. The record is from RNAcentral.
GAUGAACGCUGGCGGCGUGCCUAAUACAUGCAAGUCGAGCGAACAGACGAGGAGCUUGCUCCUCUGCCGUUAGCGGCGGACGGGUGAGUAACACGUGGCUAACCGACCUAUAAGACUGGGAUAACUUCGGGAAACCGGAGCUAAUACCGGAUCAUAUAUUGAACCGCAUGGUUCAUUAGUGAACGACGGUUUUGCUGUCACUUAUAGAUGGUUCCGCGCCGCAUUAGCUAGUUGGUAAGGUAACGGCUUACCAAGGCUACGAUGCGUAGCCGACCUGAGAGGGUGAUCGGCCACACUGGAACUGAGACACGGUCCAGACUCCUACGGGAGGCAGCAGUAGGGAAUAUUCCGCAAUGGGCGAAAGCCUGACGGAGCAACGCCGCGUGAGUGAUGAAGGUCUUCGGAUCGUAAAACUCUGUUAUUAGGGAAGAACAAAUGUGUAAGUAACUAUGCACGUCUUGACGGUACCUAAACAGAAAGCCACGGCUAACUACGUG